Protopterus annectens (West African lungfish) is the source of this 1454-nucleotide long non-coding RNA. RefSeq lists it as uncharacterized. The transcript has 6 exons. Lineage: Eukaryota; Metazoa; Chordata; Ceratodontiformes; Protopteridae. The record is from RefSeq and is a predicted model, not a curated record.
UGCGUUUAAUUUGGUCUGGGAAAAGUAUUAAAGUACAUAUUAAUUAGAUGUCAAAAUCUAGACAUGAAUAAUGUAUCACACUGUUUUCAAAUUACCGAACAACACACAUUGUCGUCAGGCAUUUCUCAAAACUUGGGGAUACUCAGCAAAACGUGUCAUUGAAUGCAGUUUAUAACCAGGCACUGGUACUUCAUUCUGUACAGAUGCAUCAUUAGUAUUACUCUUCAAAAACAUGCUCUAUCGACUUUUCCUUUGACAGCACAGUGUUAUUUCAGGUGUACAUGUUAGUAUGAACAUUUUAAGAUACUAGGAAAAGUCAGACUGUUUUCUGACAGGCAACAAAAAUAGAAUAAAGGUGUGUAAGCUGCACUGUACACGGAUGACUGCCUGCCCUGGUACUUCCUGAUGAAGUAGUAAAUUCCAUGAAAAUAUAGAAACAGCAAGGAACAUUUCUGGAACCAAAAGUCAUGUGAUCAUUAUAUGUGCCUCAGCUGCUGCCUUUGGUCUGGUUAUACUUAUCUUAUUUUUGUUUCUCAAAGACAAUGCAUGCUGUGAAAGGUCUUCAUUCCACUGUGUGAUAUGUCACAGUAAUAAUCCGCAGCUCAAAGAUCACAGUAAUGAUUCAAAAUCCUUAAAAGACAAUAAGAAUGACCACCCUGUCCUCACAUAUGCUGCUCUGGACUUUAAAGAAAGCAGAAACACCAGCAGACAGGCUGAAGACCAAGUGGAAUACAAUGGGCUUGCCUGUGCAAGUCCUUGAAGAAAAGAAUGUUGAGAAGAAAAGAUAAGUUUAAAGUGGAGGCCUUAUUUGAUGAAAUCAUCUAUCUAAUUUCUGAACAAGCAAAGCAUUAAUUAUCUCAUUGAAUUAUUCAUUCAUGGAUUUAUUUCCUCACCUAUCUUGGAUGAGGUGUAUGUUUGAAUGUAGUACUAAAGAAAUGAAUGAUAUUGCACUUUUAACAGUGAUGUUCUUUCCUCCUAUAUAUUAUUUACUAGUGUUGAUAAACACGUGAAAAAAUGUAAGCUGGUUAGCCUUAAAUUAUUUCAGACUAAGAAAUUUAAAAAUGAUCAACUGCUUGCAUUGCUUAACUCUGUUAAAGUAUGGAAAUUACCAUUUGCGUUUAUUUUAUUUUAUCUGCAGUAUUUUGUCCUCUCAGCUGUUAUCAUUUUUGCAUUAUUUGAAUGGCUGUUAUUGCAAGGGUACAGUGACAGAAUUUUAGCAGAUAGGAAUUAAUACAUUUGCAUGUGCUGCACCAAAAAAGUUGCUGCUAGUUUUGCUUUUAUUAAUUUUACUGAAGAGAAAAAAAAUUAAAGUCUGUGUCAGGUACUUUUUAACAUUCUGCCAGUCUUCAAGAACUGUGAAAUAACUGGAUGUUUGGUGUUUGAUUAAGGCAGUGAGCUAAAUAUUUAUAUAUGUCUCAGCCCAGUGGAGCAAAAGCAUCACAGCCAUCUGUACU